CAGAGGGUGCGAGCGUUAAUCGGAAUUACUGGGCGUAAAGCGUGCGUAGACGGUUAUUUAAGUCGGAUGUGAAAGCCCCGGGCUCAACCUGGGAAUUGCAUUCGAGACUGAAUAGCCAGGGUACGGUAGAGGGAAGCGGAAUUUCCGGUGUAGCGGUGAAAUGCGUAGAUAUCGGAAGGAACAUCAGUGGCGAAAGCGGCUUCCUGGACCAGUACCGACGUUCAGGCACGAAAGCGUGGGGAGCAAACAGGAUUAGAUACCCUGGUAGUCCACGCCAUAAACGAUGAGGACUAGACGUUGGAGGGUUAAGCCUUUCAGUGUCGUAGCUAACGCGCUAAGUCCUCCGCCUGGGGAGUACGGCCGCAAGGUUG
Molecule: ribosomal RNA, 371 nt
Filed under: uncultured organism
Description: bacterial SSU rRNA
Rfam family: Bacterial small subunit ribosomal RNA
Source: RNAcentral